CCUGCUGGUGGUAGCCUAGGAGGCUGCCCUUCACCCUAGCAAGACCACAGGAACAUGUUGUCGACCACCAUGGUGGGCACACUGGUCAGAGGGUGGAGGAAUCGGAGCUCCCCUAGAAGAACAGAAUUGAAACCACCCACCCCACAGAGACAAGGUGGAAUUCGGAUUCAGGCUCUGCUCUAUACCUGUUUGGGUUUGGAGUCUAUCUGAGGCAUAACUCACUACUCACCCAUUCGGAGUCACUAGCUCUGGUUUCCCUAUGCAGCCUUAGCUGUCCUGGAACUCACUAUGUAGACCAACCUGGACUCAGACUCACCAAGAUCUGCCUGCUGAGGUUAAGUGCUUGUACCUCUAUGCCUGACUAGAUAAAUAAAUUUUAAAGUUUCUCUUAGAUGCCAGGAAAGAUAUUUUAAAUAAAUGUGAAUGUGCUCUUU
This 434-nucleotide long non-coding RNA is filed under the name Rattus norvegicus (Norway rat). RNAcentral's name for it is "long non-coding RNA NONRATT000148". The record is from RNAcentral. Lineage: Eukaryota; Metazoa; Chordata; Mammalia; Rodentia; Muridae.